GUCCACACCGUAAACGUUGGGCGCUAGGUGUGGGACUCAUUCCACGAGUUCCGUGCCGCAGCUAACGCAUUAAGCGCCCCGCCUGGGGAGUACGGCCGCAAGGCUAAAACUCAAAGGAAUUGACGGGGGCCCCGCACAAGCGGCGGAGCAUGCGGAUUAAUUCGAUGCAACGCGAAGAACCUUACCUGGGUUUGACAUAUGGAGAAAUCUCCCAGAGAUUGGAGGUCCGUAAGGGCUCUAUACAGGUGGUGCAUGGCUGUCGU
This 263-nucleotide ribosomal RNA is filed under the name uncultured bacterium. RNAcentral's name for it is "partial 16S ribosomal RNA". It matches the Rfam family "Bacterial small subunit ribosomal RNA", at positions 793 to 1055 of the family's 1533-position model. The record is from RNAcentral.